UCUGGCGAAAGCCCGAGUUGUAAUUUGUAGAGGAUGCUUUUGGCAGAGCCGCGGGUUCAAGUGCCCUGGAAUGGGUUGCCAUCAUAGAGGGUGAGAGUCCCGUAUGUCGGCCCGCGGUAGUAGACGCCAGUCAAAGCUCCUUCGACGAGUCGAGUUGUUUGGGAGUGCAGCUCUAAUUGGGAGGUAAAUUCCUUCUAAAGCUAAAUAUGGGCCAGAGACCGAUAGCGAACAAGUAGAGUGAUCGAAAGAUGAAAAGUACAGUGAAAACUGGGUGAAAUAGUACGUGAAAUUGUUGAAAGGGAAGCGCUUGCAAUCAGACAUUGCAGCAACGGGCUGAACCUUGUGUUCAUAAGUUGCUUGUGGGCUAGCAUCAGUUUGGGUGGUGGUAGAAAGGCGAGGGGAAUGUGGCUCGGGUGGGCUUGCGCCCAGAUCGAGUGUUUAUAGCUCCUCGCGCCAUGCCACCUACCUAGACUGAGGGUUUGCGCGGGGUUUCCCCGCAAGGAUGCUGGCGUAAUGGUUGUAAGCGGCCCGUCUUGAAACACGGACCAAGGAGUCUAACAUCUGCGCGAGUGUUUAGGUGUCAAGCCUAUGCGCGUAAUGAAAGUAAACGUAGGUGGGAAACCAUCGGUCCUCACGGACUGGGGUGGCACCAUCGACCGAUCCGGAUGUUUUCGGAAGGAUUUGAGUAAGAGCGCAGCUGUUGGGACCCGAAAGAUGGUGAACU
RNAcentral lists this ribosomal RNA (724 nucleotides) under Coreomyces sp. 1 HS-2019. Its description in RNAcentral is "partial large subunit ribosomal RNA". It matches the Rfam family "Eukaryotic large subunit ribosomal RNA", at positions 121 to 832 of the family's 3401-position model. Lineage: Eukaryota; Fungi; Ascomycota; Laboulbeniomycetes; Laboulbeniales; Laboulbeniaceae. The record is from RNAcentral.